GGUCAAGUUAUUAAGGGUGCAGGGCGGAUGCCUUGGCACUAGGAGCCGAUGAAGGACGUGAUAAGCUGCGAUAAGCUUCGGGGAGUUGCACGUAAACUUUGAUCCGAAGAUUUCCGAAUGAGGAAACUCACUUAGAGUAAUGUCUAAGUAUCAUUAAGUGAAUACAUAGCUUAAUGAGGGGAACUCAGGGAACUGAAACAUCUAAGUACCUGAAGGAAGAGAAAGAAAUUCGAUUCCGUAAGUAGCGGCGAGCGAACGCGGAUUAGCCCAAACCAAUAAAGUUUUCUUUAUUGGGGUUGCGGACAUAUCAUAACGAAGAGGUAUCGUAAUUGAAGAGGUUUGGAAAGACCCACCACAGAAGGUAAUAGUCCUGUAUGUUAAACGAGAAGACUUCAGAUAUGAUCCAGAGUACCACGGGACACGUGAAACCCUGUGGGAAGCAGGAGGGACCACCCUCCAAGGCUAAAUACUACCUAGUGACCGAUAGCGUAUAGUACCGUGAGGGAAAGGUGAAAAGAACCCCGGGAGGGGAGUGAAAUAGAACCUGAAACCCUGCACUUACAAGCUGUGGAAGCACAUUUCUUGUGUGACCGCGUACUUUUUGUAGAACGGGCCAACGAGUUACGUUAAGUAGCAAGGUUAAGCACUUAAGGUGCGGAGCCGUAGCGAAAGCGAGUUUUAACUGAGCGUUCAGUUACUUGACGUAGACCCGAAACCGGGCGACCUACCCAUGAGCAGGAUGAAGCGAAAGUAAAAUUUCGUGGAGGUCCGAACCCACGAGCGUUGAAAAGCUCGGGGAUGACUUGUGGGUAGCGGUGAAAUUCCAAUCGAGCCCGGAGAUAGCUGGUUCUCCCCGAAAUAGCUUUAGGGCUAGCCUCAAGGUGAGAGAUACGGAGGUAGAGCACUGAAUGUCCUAGGGGGUAUUGCACCUACCGAAGACUAUCAAACUCCGAAUGCCGUCAUCUUAUACUUGGGAGUCAGACUGUGGGUGAUAAGAUUCAUAGUCGAAAGGGCAACAGCCCAGAUCGUCAGCUAAGGUCCCUAAAUGUAAGUUAAGUGGUAAAGGAUGUGGGAUUGCACAGACAACCAGGAUGUUGGCUUAGAAGCAGCCACUCAUUCAAAGAGUGCGUAAUAGCUCACUGGUCGAGUGAUCCUGCGCCGAAGAUUUCCGGGGCUAAAACUUACUACCGAAGCUACGGCAUCAGUAAUGAUGGGUAGGGGAGCUUCCCAUACGGGUUGAAGCAUGACCGUAAGGACAUGUGGACAGUAUGGGAGUGAGAAUGUUGGCAUGAGUAGCGAGAUGUGGGUGAGAAUCCCACAGGCCGUAAACCCAAGGUUUCCAGGGGAAGGUUCGUCCGCCCUGGGUUAGUCGGGACCUAAGCUGAGGCCGAAAGGCGUAGGUGAUGGACAACAGGUUGAUAUUCCUGUACUACCGAUAACCGUUUGAGAGAAGGGAUGACACAGUAGGAUAAGCUAAGCACACUGUUGGUUAUGUGUGCCCAAGCAUUGAGGCAGUCAAAGUAGGCAAAUCCGCUUUGAUAAUGCUGGGAUGUGAUGGGGAGCGAAAUUUAGUAGCGAAGUAGCUGAUUUCACACUGUCAAGAAAAGUCUCUAUCGAGGUUAAAGGUACCCGUACCGCAAACCGACACAGGUGGGUGAGGAGAGUAUCCUAAGGCCAGCGAGAGAACUGUUGUUAAGGAACUCGGCAAAAUGACCCCGUAACUUAGGGAUAAGGGGUGCCACCAUCAGGUGGCCGCAGAGAAUAGGCCCAAGCGACUGUUUACCAAAAACAUAGGUUUCUGCUAAGUCGCAAGACGAUGUAUAGGAGCUGACGCCUGCCCGGUGCUGGAAGGUUAAGGGGAUCUGUUAGAGCAAUCGAAGCAGUGAACUUAAGCCCCAGUAAACGGCGGCCGUAACUAUAACGGUCCUAAGGUAGCGAAAUUCCUUGUCGGGUAAGUUCCGACCCGCACGAAAGGCGUAACGAUUUGGGCACUGUCUCAACAACAGACUCGGUGAAAUUGUAAUUCCGG
This 2029-nucleotide ribosomal RNA is filed under the name Enterococcus faecalis. RNAcentral's name for it is "partial 23S ribosomal RNA". It matches the Rfam family "Bacterial large subunit ribosomal RNA", at positions 1 to 2053 of the family's 2925-position model. The record is from RNAcentral. Lineage: Bacteria; Bacillati; Bacillota; Bacilli; Lactobacillales; Enterococcaceae.